This 468-nucleotide ribosomal RNA is filed under the name uncultured bacterium. RNAcentral describes it as "partial 16S ribosomal RNA". It matches the Rfam family "Bacterial small subunit ribosomal RNA", at positions 28 to 507 of the family's 1533-position model. The record is from RNAcentral.
GGCGAACGCUGGCGGCGUGCUUAACACAUGCAAGUCGAACGGAAAGGCCCUGCUUUUGUGGGGUGCUCGAGUGGCGAACGGGUGAGUAACACGUGAGUAACCUGCCCUUGACUUUGGGAUAACUUCAGGAAACUGGGGCUAAUACCGGAUAGGAGCUCCUGCUGCAUGGUGGGGGUUGGAAAGUUUCGGCGGUUGGGGAUGGACUCGCGGCUUAUCAGCUUGUUGGUGGGGUAGUGGCUUACCAAGGCUUUGACGGGUAGCCGGCCUGAGAGGGUGACCGGCCACAUUGGGACUGAGAUACGGCCCAGACUCCUACGGGAGGCAGCAGCGGGGAAUAUUGCACAAUGGGCGGAAGCCUGAUGCAGCAACGCCGCGUGCGGGAUGACGGCCUUCGGGUUGUAAACCGCUUUCGCCUGUGACGAAGCGUGAGUGACGGUAAUGGGUAAAGAAGCACCGGCUAACUACGUG